UCCGUAGGUGAACCUGCGAAAGGAUCAUUUGUGAAUAUAGGGUGACUCUGUAAAGAGAACCCCGGUUUCCACUUUUUUUCAUACACUGUGCACUAAACCUUUUUUUACUUUCGUUGAAAACACUUGUGUCAAAUUUUGUUUGUGAAUGUACAAUCAUGUUUAAAUGAAAGUAAAACUUUCAGCAAUGGAUCUCUUGGCUCUCGCAUCGAUGAAGAACGCAGCGAAACGCGAAAUGUAAUGUGAAUUGCAGAAUUCUGUGAAUCAUCGAAUCUUUGAACGCACCUUGCGCUCUUGGGUCAUUCCUGAGAGCAUGCUUGUUUGAGUGUCGCAAACUUCUCAACCCCGCUUUUUUUGUUUUAAGUAGCUUGGGUUUGGAUCAUGGUUGCUGUCGAGUUGAAACAUACUUGACUCAGCUGAAAUGUAACAAGCUACAUCAAAGUACUUUGCGGCUCGAACUAUCGUUGUAGAACUUUCAAAUUCGAUAGUAACGCAAAAGAUGUUUGAAUAAGCUUUUAAUCAUGAAAAACACUGUUGAAAGUUCAUCACAGUGCAUUCAGACCUCAAAUCAAGUAGGACUACCCGCUGAACUUUAGCAUAUCAAUAAGCGGAGGA
Molecule: ribosomal RNA, 612 nt
Filed under: Ruinenia rubra
Lineage: Eukaryota; Fungi; Basidiomycota; Agaricostilbomycetes; Agaricostilbales; Ruineniaceae
Description: eukaryotic LSU rRNA
Rfam family: 5.8S ribosomal RNA (bases 174-328)
Source: RNAcentral